GUCCACGCCCUAACGAUGCGAACUAGGUGUUGGGAAGGAGACUUCUUAGUACCGCAGCUAACGCGUGAAGUUCGCCGCCUGGGGAGGUACGGUCGCAAGAUUAAAACUACAAAGGAAUUGACGGGGACCCGCACAAGCGGUGGAUGAUGUGGAUUAAUUCGAUGCAACGCGAAAACCUUAACCUACCCUUGACAUGUCAGGAAGUCUGCUGAGAGGUGGAUGUGCCCGAAAGGGAACCUGAACACAGGUGCUGCAUGGCUGUCGU
This 265-nucleotide ribosomal RNA is filed under the name uncultured bacterium. RNAcentral describes it as "partial 16S ribosomal RNA". It matches the Rfam family "Bacterial small subunit ribosomal RNA", at positions 793 to 1055 of the family's 1533-position model. The record is from RNAcentral.